GUUCGAGCGUCAUUACAAUCCUCAAGCUCAGCUUGGUAUUAAGCCUCACCCAUCAGGGCGGGCUGUAAAAUUAGUGGCGGUGCAUCUGGCUUCAAGCGUAGUAACUUUCUCGCUUUGGAGGACCUGUUGUGUGCCUGCCAGCAACCCCAAUUUUAUCAAAGGUUGACCUCGGAUCAGGUAGGGAUACCCGCUGAACUUAA
This 200-nucleotide unclassified non-coding RNA is filed under the name soil metagenome. RNAcentral describes it as "partial contains internal transcribed spacer 2 and large subunit ribosomal RNA". The record is from RNAcentral.